RNAcentral lists this ribosomal RNA (256 nucleotides) under uncultured bacterium. RNAcentral describes it as "partial 16S ribosomal RNA". It matches the Rfam family "Bacterial small subunit ribosomal RNA", at positions 98 to 354 of the family's 1533-position model. The record is from RNAcentral.
CGGCACGGGUGCGUAACGCGUAUGCAACCUACCAUCAACAGGGGGAUAACACUGAGAAAUUGGUACUAAUACCCCAUAAUAUCUCAUGCGGCAUCGCAUGGGGUUGAAAACUCCGGUGGUUGAUGAUGGGCAUGCGUUGUAUUAGCUGGUUGGUGAGGUAACGGCUCACCAAGGCGACGAUACAUAGGGGGGACUGAGAGGUUAACCCCCCACAUUGGUACUGAGACACGGACCAAACUCCUACGGAAGGCAGCAG